GACGAACGCUGGCGGCGUGCUUAACACAUGCAAGUCGAACGGAAAGGCCCUGCUUUUGUGGGGUGCUCGAGUGGCGAACGGGUGAGUAACACGUGAGUAACCUGCCCUUGACUUUGGGAUAACUUCAGGAAACUGGGGCUAAUACCGGAUAGGAGCUCCUGCUGCAUGGUGGGGGUUGGAAAGUUUCGGCGGUUGGGGAUGGACUCGCGGCUUAUCAGCUUGUUGGUGGGGUAGUGGCUUACCAAGGCUUUGGCGGGUAGCCGGCCUGAGAGGGUGACCGGCCACAUUGGGACUGAGAUAGGGCGCAGACGCCUACGGGAGGCAGCAGGGGGGAACAUUGCACAGCGGGCGGGAGCCUGAGGCAGCAACGCCGCGUGCGGGAUGACGGCCUUCGGGUUAUAAACCGCUUUCGCCUGAGACGAAGCGGGAGUGACGGUAAUGGGUAAAGAAGCACCGGCUAGCUACGUG
RNAcentral lists this ribosomal RNA (468 nucleotides) under uncultured bacterium. RNAcentral describes it as "partial 16S ribosomal RNA". It matches the Rfam family "Bacterial small subunit ribosomal RNA", at positions 28 to 507 of the family's 1533-position model. The record is from RNAcentral.